GAAGGAGGGUGGGAAAUGAUAACGUGCCCAGUAACGCGCCCUCCCUGGCUCCUGACCACCCAACCCAGCCCCUGCCACAUUCACAGUAGUUAUAGAAGAUUCAGAAACGUCCAAGCCAAUGAUCCAGAACAGUCAAGAUUGGAAUGAUCCCCCUGCCACCCAUGUUGGCAACGCCUGACAACACCAUGAAUUCUAAAUUGGGGCCAUUAUUCCUCAAAAUCAGCCUCUUCUGUCAAGUUAACAAUUUUAUAGUUUCAUCUGUUACUGGUAAAGUUGGAGAAUAUAAAACAGAACAACUUGACAGAAGAGAACGUCACUCCUGGCCUUCUUUAUAAACAACACGUUAUUAGUACUGCAGUAAGAUCAGCACACACAUGGACUGUAACGUCUGUGCAAGUUACUAAAAAUCCUUGUACCGAUCCCGAUCUGCAAGUUAUACUCUAGUCACAUCCAAAGCUGCAUUUAGAAUUCUGCUGACUUUUCCUUAGUUCCCAGGCUGCAAUGCUUCACAUGCACAGAGCACGAACAGCUUUUUACUCAAUGCACUACAUCAGAAUACAGACUGCAGCAGAGCUGAGGGUGCAGCUUUAUUUGUGUCUACAGUUUAAAGGGGUACUCCGGUGGAAAACUAAUAUUAAUAUACAUACAUAUAUAAUAUAUAUACACACACACACAUAUUAUAUUAGGGAUCGACCGAUAUCAUUUUUUUAGGGCCGAUACCGAUAAUCGGUGGAGGUUAGGGCCGAUAGCCGAUAACUUAUACCGGAAUAUCGGUAUAAGUUAUCGGCUAUUUAUCCCCCCUCGACACCACUGCAGGUCAUUGAUUUAAAGUGGGCGCUUUAAAUCAAUGAUCUGCAGUGGCUUUUGCGGGGCCAUAGGCCGCAGCUGCCACCCGCUUCUCUCCCCUACCUGUCAGGGUGCUCCGGGCCAUCCAUCCUUUCUUCCUUCCUGUAGUGUCCGGGGGCAUUCCGGGAAGGAUGGCCCGGACCACCCCCAUUACGGGUAAGUUUAUUAUUUUUUUAUUGACUCGAGGGUGGGGGAGGGGCCCGACCGUUAUAGCGGUAUGGGCAAAAAUCCAUACCGGUAUACCGCCCAGCACUACAGUGGGGGGUGCGACGCUGUGGGUCGGGGGGGGGGGGGGGGGGGGCGGUCGCGGUGCGGUGGGGGCGGCAGGGCAUUAUCGGCUUAUCGGCAAGGUAAUUGCCGAUACCGAUAAUGCCCAAAAAUCGUGAUUAUCGGCCGAUAUUAUCGGCCAUACCGAUAAUCGGUCGAUCCCUAAUAUAUAUAUUAUAUAAAAUAUUAUUUUUUUUUUUAUUUU
Molecule: long non-coding RNA, 1318 nt
Organism: Hyla sarda
Lineage: Eukaryota; Metazoa; Chordata; Amphibia; Anura; Hylidae
Exons: 2
Source: RefSeq, a predicted model, not a curated record